UUUCCCUCAGGAUAGCUGGCACUCGCUUGAGCGAGUCUCAUCUGGUAAAGCGAAUGAUUAGAGGCCUUGGGGCCGAAACGACCUCAACCUAUUCUCAAACUUUAAAUGGGUGAGAUCUCUGGCUUGCUUGAACGUUGAAGCCACGAGAUUAUGCAAUGGAUCAGAGUGCCAAGUGGGCCAAUUUUGGUAAGCAGAACUGGCGCUGUGGGA
Molecule: ribosomal RNA, 210 nt
Filed under: Coruna sp. D1622
Lineage: Eukaryota; Metazoa; Arthropoda; Insecta; Hymenoptera; Pteromalidae
Also listed under: 1 other name
Description: partial 28S ribosomal RNA
Rfam family: Eukaryotic large subunit ribosomal RNA
Source: RNAcentral